RNAcentral lists this ribosomal RNA (250 nucleotides) under Hydrotaea spinigera. RNAcentral describes it as "partial 16S ribosomal RNA". The record is from RNAcentral. Lineage: Eukaryota; Metazoa; Arthropoda; Insecta; Diptera; Muscidae.
CAUAAAAAUUUAUAUUAGAAUUUUAUUUUUUAGUCAAAAAGCUAAAAUAAUUUUAAAAGACGAGAAGACCCUAUAAAUCUUUAUAUUUAUUAAUUUAUAAUUUUAUAGAUUUUUUUUAUUAUAAAUUUAUAUAAUAUUUUAUUGGGGUGAUAUUGAAAUUUAAUAAACUUUUAAUUUUAAAAUUCAUUGAUUAAUGAAAAAUUGAUCCGUUAUUAACGAUUAAAAAUUUAAGUUACCUUAGGGAUAACAG